AGUCUUCAGGAGCAGCUUGUCCAAUUUCCAUGUAGUUACAUAGUUUUGGGUUAGUUUCUUAAUCCUGAGUUCUAAUUUGAUUGCACUGUUGUCUGAGAGACUGUUUCUUAUGAU
This is a long non-coding RNA of Sapajus apella (tufted capuchin), 114 nucleotides long. RefSeq lists it as uncharacterized. The record is from RefSeq and is a predicted model, not a curated record. The transcript has 3 exons. NCBI's taxonomy places the organism in Eukaryota, Metazoa, Chordata, Mammalia, Primates, Cebidae.